This 567-nucleotide ribosomal RNA is filed under the name Nakazawaea pomicola. RNAcentral's name for it is "eukaryotic LSU rRNA". It matches the Rfam family "Eukaryotic large subunit ribosomal RNA", at positions 78 to 661 of the family's 3401-position model. The record is from RNAcentral. Lineage: Eukaryota; Fungi; Ascomycota; Pichiomycetes; Alaninales; Pachysolenaceae.
CCUUAGUAACGGCGAGUGAAGCGGCAAAAGCUCAAAUUUGAAAUCUAGCACUUUCAGUGUUCGAGUUGUAAUUUGAAGAAGGUAUCUUUGGAGUUGGCCCCCGUCUAUGUUCCUUGGAACAGGACGUCACAGAGGGUGAGAAUCCCGUGCGAUGGGGAGAUCAAUUCUAUGUAAAGUUCCUUCGAAGAGUCGAGUUGUUUGGGAAUGCAGCUCUAAGUGGGUGGUAAAUUCCAUCUAAAGCUAAAUAUUGGCGAGAGACCGAUAGCGAACAAGUACAGUGAUGGAAAGAUGAAAAGAACUUUGAAAAGAGAGUGAAAAAGUACGUGAAAUUGUUGAAAGGGAAGGGCUUUUGAUCAGACUUGGUGUUUAGUACUCUCUACUCCUUGUGGGUGGGGCUCUUGCUUUAUACUGGGCCAGCAUCGGUUUGGAUGGUAGGAUAAUGACUUUGGAAUGUGGCUUCAUUCGUGGAGUGUUAUAGCCUUUGUUGAUACUGCCUAUCUAGACCGAGGACUGCGUCUUUUGACUAGGAUGCUGGCGUAAUGAUUAAAAGCCGCCCGUCUUGAAACA